This 293-nucleotide ribosomal RNA is filed under the name uncultured bacterium. RNAcentral describes it as "partial 16S ribosomal RNA". It matches the Rfam family "Bacterial small subunit ribosomal RNA", at positions 505 to 796 of the family's 1533-position model. The record is from RNAcentral.
GUGCCAGCCGCCGCGGUAAUACGGGGGGAGCAAGCGUUGUUCGGAUUUACUGGGCGUAAAGGGCGCGUAGGCGGCCACCGCAAGUCAGUUGUGAAAUCUCUGGGCUUAACCCAGAAAGGUCAACUGAUACUGCGGGGCUAGAGUGCAGAAGGGGCAACUGGAAUUCUCGGUGUAGCGGUGAAAUGCGUAGAUAUCGAGAGGAACACCUGCGGCGAAGGCGGGUUGCUGGGCUGACACUGACGCUGAGGCGCGAAAGCUAGGGGAGCGAACGGGAUUAGAAACCCCCGUAGUCC